Molecule: long non-coding RNA, 1194 nt
Organism: Pezoporus flaviventris
Lineage: Eukaryota; Metazoa; Chordata; Aves; Psittaciformes; Psittacidae
Exons: 3
Source: RefSeq, a predicted model, not a curated record
GCCUUCCAAUGGGUGAACAGCUCUAAUUCCCAGUUCACCAGAGGGACUACCAGACCCCCGUGCUCCAUCCUUUCCCAUUAGCACUCCAGCAAUGGGGAAGGAUCCCAUGGCAGCUGGAAAUUCAUUCACAUGCUUUGCAAUCACAUGACUCCAGGAGCUGCAGUCGAGGAAGAACAAUUUAUAUUGGGAGACAUACAAUAAACGGUUAGUUUAUAACAGGACUUAGAGUUUAUAACAGGACUACUUGUAUAAAUAAGACUUUGCAAAAUUCAAACAAGACUAUACUCAGUAACUAUUCAUAUCAAUGCAGACUAGAGCACUGAGGAAGAAUUUUAACUAUUCUGCCCUGCAGUUGGGUGGGCAUCUUCAUUAUCCCUCUGCCAAAACCCAUUACAUUUUCUAGCCAAUUUUAAUCACAAGUGACAUUUAGAAACUGAUUAACUAAGUAUCAACAUGAUACCGGCUACUUUAAAUGUGUCUGCUGUAUCAAUGAAUCAACUGAGCCAUACUAUGUAGGUUCAUACUCAUCUUGUGCUGCUCAGGAUAUUGCUUUAAUGGUCCUAUAGAAAAAAGAAUGCAGUCAGCUAAUGUAAUUAGUCACAGUCAAGCGAGCUAAAUCUUGUUGCAGAGGAGCUAUACAAGGGAUAAAUUUGCUCUUCCAAUGCCAAGAUCCACUUGUUCCAUGCACUAGCCUCAAGUUAUUUUGAGGAACUUGUUACUAAAGGACACAGACUCAGCAACAGGGUUGAAAAUAUGUUCUUCUUUUGCAGGUGACACCAGUGAUCUGCAGCUUUGGAGGCUUUUACUUCCAAAGGGAUCUGUGGCUAGAGCCCUGAGGAAAUCAGACUUUGUUUCAAGCUAUAUGUGAAGUUCCUGUGGAGCCAGCCCUUUCCCAAAGCUCAUAGAAGGAAUGCAGCUGAGUAUGAGGUCCAUGGAUUCUGGCUGAAGCUCACAACAAAAGUCAAGAAAGUCAUCAUCAUCCAUGGAGUUUCUGAUGCUCUGUUGAAUAAAGAGAGAGAAAAAACAGGAGGAGAAGAAUUACAGUUGUUGCUCAGAGGUAAGCCUCUUGAUAACCUCCUCUGUCCUCAGUGCUUGGAGGAGUUUGAGAAACCCCCUUAAAUCAUAUUAUUUCUACGUUAGAAGUUGUUAAGGCAUCUUCACUUGUGGACUGUGUUCUGUCGUGCUUUAGUUGGU